RNAcentral lists this ribosomal RNA (253 nucleotides) under uncultured bacterium. Its description in RNAcentral is "partial 16S ribosomal RNA". It matches the Rfam family "Bacterial small subunit ribosomal RNA", at positions 524 to 776 of the family's 1533-position model. The record is from RNAcentral.
GACGAACCGCCCGAACGUUGUUCGGAAUCACUGGGCUUAAAGGGCGCGUAGGCGGGCGAGCAAGUCAGGGGUGAAAGCCCCCAGCUUAACUGGGGAAGUGCCUUUGAUACUGCUGGUCUUGAGGGAGAUAGGGGCGUGCGGAACUUCCGGUGGAGCGGUGAAAUGCGUAGAUAUCGGAAGGAACACCGGUGGCGAAAGCGGCGCGCUGGAUCUCUACUGACGCUGAGGCGCGAAAGCCAGGGGAGCAAACGGG